RNAcentral lists this unclassified non-coding RNA (169 nucleotides) under uncultured soil eukaryote. Its description in RNAcentral is "sequence contains ITS2". The record is from RNAcentral.
UGAGAGAUUGAAAGCUACUUUUGGAAGAGCGGGGAGGUUGCCUGUUGAAUGUGCGACAUGCCCGCUGAUAGCUUAAAACAAGACACACUCGUGUUGCGCCUCUGGCCGGCGUCGGAGGAUAACGGCAACUGGACGAGUGUACCUGGGUUUGUACCCUGGGUUUGUUUCU